GUACGGGUUGUGAGAGCAAGAGCCCGGAGAUGGAUUCUGAGACACGAAUCCAGGCCCUACGGGGUGCAGCAGGCGCGAAAACUUUACAAUGCCGGCAACGGCGAUAAGGGGACCUCGAGUGCCAGGUUACAAAUCUGGCUGUCGUGAUGCCUAAAAAGCAUUGCAUAGCAAGGGCCGGGCAAGACCGGUGCCAGCCGCCGCGGUAACACCGGCGGCUCGAGUGGUAACCGUUAUUAUUGGGUCUAAAGGGUCUGUAGCCGGCCGGAUAAGUCUCUUGGGAAAUCCAGCAGCUCAACUGUUGGGCUUUCAGGAGAUACUGUCUGGCUCGAGGCCGGGAGAGGUGAGAGGUACUUCAGGGGUAGGGGUGAAAUCUUGUAAUCCUUGAAGGACCACCAGUGGCGAAGGCGUCUCACCAGAACGGACCUGACGGCAAGGGACGAAAGCUAGGGGCACGAACCGGAUUAGAUACCCGGGUAGUCCUAGCCGUAAACGAUACUCGCUAGGUGUCGGCCACGGUGCGACCGUUGUCGGUGCCGUAGGGAAGCCGUGAAGCGAGCC
RNAcentral lists this ribosomal RNA (558 nucleotides) under uncultured archaeon. Its description in RNAcentral is "bacterial SSU rRNA". It matches the Rfam family "Archaeal small subunit ribosomal RNA", at positions 267 to 825 of the family's 1478-position model. The record is from RNAcentral.